RNAcentral lists this long non-coding RNA (425 nucleotides) under Calidris pugnax (ruff). RNAcentral's name for it is "lncRNA (ENSCPUG00000017551.1)". Lineage: Eukaryota; Metazoa; Chordata; Aves; Charadriiformes; Scolopacidae. The record is from RNAcentral.
GAGGGGGGAACGGAGACGUUUUACAGAGGAUAAUGAAAUUUACAAAGAAGAGAGAAGCCGGGGAGAGGCGUUCCCCUGACAGCUCCUCUGAGGGAGCCCGGGGAGCAGCCCCUCAGGCCGCCCACACCCCCGACCCCCCCACCUCGCCGGUUCCCUGCUUCCCUCGGUCCCGAGGCGUGUUAAGGCAGGGUGCGCAUCCUUUCCUGAGUGUUUGGACAACACCAGGGACAUCGUGGAGCCAUAGGAUGAGGGGUAAUGGUUUUAAACUGAAAGAGGGUAAAUUUAGAUGAAAUAUAAGAACUUCUUUGCUGUGAGGGUGGUGAGAGCCUGGCCCAGGUUGCCCAGAGAAGCUGUGGCUGCCCCAUCCCUGGAGGGGUUCAAGGCCAGGUUGGAGGGGGCUUGGAGCAACCUGGUCUGGUGGGAGG